This is a non-coding RNA of Culex pipiens (northern house mosquito), 74 nucleotides long. The record is from Rfam. Lineage: Eukaryota; Metazoa; Arthropoda; Insecta; Diptera; Culicidae.
GGCUCCGUGGCUUAAUGGUUACGCCUUCUGCCUCACAAGCAGAAGGUUCAGGGAUCAAAUCCCGGUCGGUACCU